CUUUCCCGCGCGACCGGCGAGGGAGGAAGAAGCGCGAAGAGCCGUUAAUCAUGCCGGUGUGGUGGCGGCGGCGGAGCCUGCGGGCCGGUAGCUGGGCUCUGCAAGGUGAAAGAAAGCCUUUGAGGUGAAGAUGUAUGAAGGUCAUCAUAACAAAUGUUUUCCAAAAACUUGCAGAAGGCUGUGAAAACUACUAGGAUCACGCGGCAUGUAUUGAGGUACCUAAAUUUAAUUAAUGUUAGUUAUGUGAUGUAUUCUUGACAGAUAGGUUUAAUAGCUGGCACAAUGAUGACUUAAAUUACUUUUUGCCGUUUACCCAGCUGAGGGUGUCUUUGAAGAAAUAAUUUUAAGACUGAGAUGCCAGUAAUGUACAUUGAUUAAUUACUGACAUGUAUGUAAGGCAAUAAUUUAAUUAAGGGUGAAUAUUCUUUCUUUUUAGCAUAUAGGUUGCUGUAGAUGAAUGUUCUUAGCUGUCAUGUUUAAAAAUACUUCUUCGUUACCUCAAGUAAGUGAUUUGUCAAGCAACUAUGUCUGCUGACAGUUCAGAAAGUAUCUGAU
This 555-nucleotide small RNA is filed under the name Pongo abelii (Sumatran orangutan). RNAcentral describes it as "retained intron". The stretch from base 274 to 362 matches the Rfam family "Small nucleolar RNA SNORD87". The record is from RNAcentral. Lineage: Eukaryota; Metazoa; Chordata; Mammalia; Primates; Hominidae.